AGUGAACGCUGGCGGUAGGCCUAACACAUGCAAGUCGAACGGCAGCACAGUAAGAGCUUGCUCUUACGGGUGGCGAGUGGCGGACGGGUGAGGAAUACAUCGGAAUCUACUUUUUCGUGGGGGAUAACGUAGGGAAAUUUACGCUAAUACCGCAUACGACCUACGGGUGAAAGCAGGGGAUCUUCGGACCUUGCGCGAUUGAAUGAGCCGAUGUCGGAUUAGCUAGUUGGCGGGGUAAAGGCCCACCAAGGCGACGAUCCGUAGCUGGUCUGAGAGGAUGAUCAGCCACACUGGAACUGAGGCACGGUCCAGACUCCUACGGGAGGCAGCAGUGGGGAAUAUUGGACAAUGGGCGCAAGCCUGAUCCAGCCAUACCGCGUGGGUGAAGAAGGCCUUCGGGUUGUAAAGCCCUUUUGUUGGGAAAGAAAAGCAGCAGGUUAAUACCCCGCUGUUCUGACGGUACCCAAAGAAUAAGCACCGGCUAACUUCGUG
This 492-nucleotide ribosomal RNA is filed under the name uncultured bacterium. Its description in RNAcentral is "partial 16S ribosomal RNA". It matches the Rfam family "Bacterial small subunit ribosomal RNA", at positions 29 to 507 of the family's 1533-position model. The record is from RNAcentral.